RNAcentral lists this ribosomal RNA (369 nucleotides) under uncultured Ostreococcus. RNAcentral's name for it is "SSU rRNA". It matches the Rfam family "Eukaryotic small subunit ribosomal RNA", at positions 587 to 975 of the family's 1831-position model. The record is from RNAcentral. Lineage: Eukaryota; Viridiplantae; Chlorophyta; Mamiellophyceae; Mamiellales.
AGCUCCAAUAGCGUAUAUUUAAGUUGUUGCAGUUAAAAAGCUCGUAGUCGGACUUUGGCUGAGAACGGUCGGUCCGCCGUUAGGUGUGCACUGACUGGUCUCAGCUUCCUGGUGAGGAGGUGUGCUUCACGGCCACUUAGUCACCGUGGUUACUUUGAAAAAAUUAGAGUGUUCAAAGCGGGCUUACGCUUGAAUAUAUUAGCAUGGAAUAACACCAUAGGACUCCUGUCCUAUUUCGUUGGUCUCGGGACGGGAGUAAUGAUUAAGAGGAACAGUUGGGGGCAUUCGUAUUUCAUUGUCAGAGGUGAAAUUCUUGGAUUUAUGAAAGACGAACUUCUGCGAAAGCAUUUGCCAAGGAUGUUUUCAUUG